Molecule: ribosomal RNA, 377 nt
Filed under: uncultured bacterium
Lineage: Bacteria
Description: bacterial SSU rRNA
Rfam family: Bacterial small subunit ribosomal RNA
Source: RNAcentral
UAAAACGUAGGUACCGAGCGUUAUCCGGAUUUACUGGGCGUAAAGCGUGUUCAGGCGGCCGCGCAAGUCGGGCAUGAAAUCUCUCGGCUCAACCGGGAGGGGUUGUCCGAUACUGCGUGGCUGGAGGGCAGUAGAGGGUGGUGGAAUUCCGGGUGUAGUGGUGAAAUGCGUAGAGAUCCGGAGGAACACCAGUGGCGAAAGCGGCCACCUGGACUGUACCUGACGCUCAAACACGAAAGCUAGGGGAGCGAACGGGAUUAGAAACCCCGGUAGUCCUAGCUAUAAACGAUGUAGACUAGGUGUCAGCGGUCUAAACCCCGUUGGUGCCGGAGCUAACGCACUAAGUCUACCGCCUGGGGACUACGGCCGCAAGGCUA